RNAcentral lists this ribosomal RNA (498 nucleotides) under uncultured bacterium. RNAcentral describes it as "partial 16S ribosomal RNA". It matches the Rfam family "Bacterial small subunit ribosomal RNA", at positions 28 to 508 of the family's 1533-position model. The record is from RNAcentral.
GACGAACGCUGGCGGCGUGCCUAAUACAUGCCAGUAGAACGCUGAAGCGAGGAGCUUGCUCUUCUUGGAUGAGUUGCGAACGGGUGAGUAACGCGUAGGUAACCUGCCUGGUAGCGGGGGAUAACUAUUGGAAACGAUAGCUAAUACCGCAUAAAAUGGAUUAUCGCAUGAUAAUCCAUUGAAAGGUGCAAAUGCAUCACUACCAGAUGGACCUGCGUUGUAUUAGCUAGUUGGUGGGGUAACGGCUCACCAAGGCGACGAUACAUAGCCGACCUGAGAGGGUGAUCGGCCACACUGGGACUGAGACACGGCCCAGACUCCUACGGGAGGCAGCAGUAGGGAAUCUUCGGCAAUGGACGGAAGUCUGACCGAGCAACGCCGCGUGAGUGAAGAAGGUUUUCGGAUCGUAAAGCUCUGUUGUAAGAGAAGAACGAGUGUGAGAGUGGAAAGUUCACACUGUGACGGUAUCUUACCAGAAAGGGACGGCUAACUACGUGC